AGAAUUCCUGUUCUAGGCAGCACUCACUAGCUGGAGUAAGUCCUCCCAUAACAUGUAAGAAUAAUUAGCAUGGAGAGAUUGAGCCAUAUACCCUUGGAUCACUUGGGAAGGCCACAUCCAGCGGUGCUCAGGGAUCACUCCUGGUGGUGCUCAGCAUGUGUGGUGCCAGGGAUCGAAAUGAAGUCAGCCGCGUGCAAGGCAAGCAUCCUACUAACUGUGCUAUUUCUCUGGCCUCUGUUUUUAUAUUUUAAUCUUUUUUUUUUUUUGGCCUAGAAUGAAACUUUAUUUAAACACGGUGAUUUACGAAGUUGUUCACCAUACAGUUGUUUCAGGUAUUCAAUAUUCCAACACCAGUCCUACCAGCAAUGUGUCUCUCCUUCCACCAAUAUCCCCAGUUUCCUACCCACUCCCCAAGCAGGCACAAAAUAACUUAUUUUAUAUUGCUUGUUACAAAUAUCGUAAUGGUGUUGUUAAAGUCAUGUUCUGAGGAUUUACUGAGAUGUUAGGUGCAAGUUGAGCUUUCUGUGUUAUUGUUUUCACUCUUUGAGCUUAGUAGACUUCUCAAUUUCCCCAUCUCAUUUUCUGUGCUUUUACGGAGCUGUCAGCUCUGAAAUUUGGAGGUGUUGCAUGACUACAUACGCGGUUGCAUGCCUCAGGGGCUGUGGAGCUGGGACGAUCAGUUGCAGGUGUCUUUCUGGCAUCUCUCUGAGAUCAUUCCUGAAGCUGGACUUUCUCUUUGGCAGCGGUGGAAGCUGGGUGUGGGUAGAGUGCUGGACAUUGGUAGGGCAGGAACUUGGUCUGCCCCCAUCCUGCUAAGGCUCUAGAGAUCUCGGCUUGGUGGCGGCAAUGCUCACCUAGAAUAACUCAGCUGCUGGCAUUUCUCUGAGAUCAGUCCUGAAGCUCUUACUGCUCUUUCCUUCUGUAGAAUUUCUGGUAUAAAAACUACUACUACAGAUUGCUUAUUAAAGGUAUUUUUAAAAUAAGGAAUUGUGGAUCAAAGAAAUAGAACUGACACCUUAUUCUAUCUGGUAGUCGAUGUUUUGAUUUAAAAGCAACACUCCUGGCUGGGAAGAUAGUUCAAAGAACCUAAGAGAAUGCUUUGCAGCGGGGAGACCUGGGUUGAUUUCAGACAUAGCAUGGUCCCUUACCAGGAGCACUCCCUGUCACUGAGUCAGUAGUCCUAAGCACUGCUGAUUGUGCCCCCACUUCCUGAGAAAAAGAAAAAAACAGCACUCCUACCAUACUACCACACUUUGUAUUGUUUAUUGUUUGUUUGUUUUUGAAUCACACCUAACAAUGCUCAGGGCUUACUCUUGGCUCUACAUUCAGGAAUCACUUCUUGUGGACUCCUGGGUAUCAAAAUGGUACUCAGGAUUGAACCCAGUCAGCUGUGUGCAAGGCAAGCGUCUUACUAUCUCUCUGGCCCUACUUUGUAUUCUGUACUGAUGGGAGUCAUCAGAUGAAUUAAAACCAAGGCUAUACUGUAAAUAAAAUUACCUAUUGCACUUUAGCAAUAUCAAUGUCAGAUUCCCUGGCACCACCAGGAGUCACUUCUAAGUAGAGCCAUCAAUAGUCCCUGAACACUGCAAGGUGUUGCCCAAAAUAAAAUACUUUGAAAAGUAUCUGACAACUGAAUACCAUGUGAUAUUUUUGUUGUGCUAGGGAUAGUGCCAGGUGUACUUUUUACACUUUUGGAUGGGUGUUGGGGAUGUGGCACUAUUUUUUAUGGUGUCAUGGGAUGGCGCUACAGAGUCUUGGGGAGGGAGCAUUAGGCAUUGUUGGGUGGUGCCAGGUAAUACCAAUAUUGAACUCAGUCUCAUACAUGUUAGGCAAACUACCACUGAGCUGUGUACUUCGAGGCCCAUAUGUGAUUUUGUUGGAUAAAAGUUGCUGUCACAAAUUGUUAAUUAAAUCUAAGUGAAAGAUGUA
Sorex fumeus (smoky shrew) is the source of this 1929-nucleotide long non-coding RNA. RefSeq lists it as uncharacterized. The transcript is spliced from 2 exons. The record is from RefSeq and is a predicted model, not a curated record. Lineage: Eukaryota; Metazoa; Chordata; Mammalia; Eulipotyphla; Soricidae.